Molecule: transfer RNA, 75 nt
Filed under: Zingiber officinale
Lineage: Eukaryota; Viridiplantae; Streptophyta; Magnoliopsida; Zingiberales; Zingiberaceae
Description: tRNA-Ile
Rfam family: tRNA
About the family: Transfer RNA (tRNA) molecules are approximately 80 nucleotides in length. Their secondary structure includes four short double-helical elements and three loops (D, anti-codon, and T loops).
Source: RNAcentral
UAGCCUAUAGUUUAGUUGGUUAAAGCGUCGUGUUAAUAACGGGAAGGUCACAGGUUUGAAACCUGCAUAGGCUAA